GAGUUUGAUCCUGGCUCAGAUUGAACGCUGGCGGCAUGCCUUACACAUGCAAGUCGAACGGUAACGCGGGGCAACCUGGCGACGAGUGGCGAACGGGUGAGUAAUGCAUCGGAACGUACCCAGUAGUGGGGGAUAGCCCGGCGAAAGCCGGAUUAAUACCGCGUACGACCUACGGGUGAAAGCGGGGGAUCGCAAGACCUCGCGCUACUGGAGCGGCCGAUGUCAGAUUAGGUAGUUGGUGGGGUAAAUGCCUACCAAGCCAACGAUCUGUAGCUGGUCUGAGAGGACGACCAGCCACACUGGGACUGAGACACGGCCCAGACUCCUACGGGAGGCAGCAGUGGGGAAUUUUGGACAAUGGGCGAAAGCCUGAUCCAGCCAUGCCGCGUGCGGGAAGAAGGCCUUCGGGUUGUAAACCGCUUUUGUCAGGGAAGAAAUCUUCUGAGCUAAUACCUCGGAAGGAUGACGGUACCUGAAGAAUAAGCACCGGCUAACUACGUGCCAGCAGCCGCGGUAAUACGUAGGGUGCAAGCGUUAAUCGGAAUUACUGGGCGUAAAGCGUGCGCAGGCGGUCGUGCAAGACAGAUGUGAAAUCCCCGGGCUUAACCUGGGAACUGCAUUUGUGACUGUACGGCUAGAGUGCGGCAGAGGGGGAUGGAAUUCCGCGUGUAGCAGUGAAAUGCGU
Molecule: ribosomal RNA, 685 nt
Filed under: uncultured beta proteobacterium
Lineage: Bacteria; Pseudomonadati; Pseudomonadota; Betaproteobacteria
Description: bacterial SSU rRNA
Rfam family: Bacterial small subunit ribosomal RNA
Source: RNAcentral